UUGGAGGGCAAGUCUGGUGCCAGCAGCCGCGGUAAUUCCAGCUCCAAUAGCGUAUAUUAAAGUUGUUGCAGUUAAAAAGCUCGUAGUUGAAUUUCGGGGUCAGUAGGUUGGUCAUGCCACUGGUAUGUACUGGCCUCACUGAUUCCUCCUUCCUGAUGAGCCGUAAUGCCAUUAAUUUGGUGUUGCGAGGAAUCUGGACUGUUACUUUGAAAAAAUUAGAGUGUUUAGAGCAGGCUAACGCUUGAAUACAUUAGCAUGGAAUAAUGAAAUAGGACGUUCGAUCUUAUUUUGUUGGUUUCUAAGAUUGACGUAAUGAUUAAUAGGGAUAGUUGGGGGCAUUAGUAUUCAAUUGUCAGAGGUGAAAUUCUUGGAUUUAUUGAAGACUAACUACUGCGAAAGCAUUUGCCAAGGAUGUUUUCAUUAAUCAAGAACGAAAGUUAGGGGAUCGAAGACGAUCAGAUACCGUCUUAGUCUUAACCAUAAACUAUGCCGACUAGGGAUCGGAUGUUGUUCAUUUUUUAAUGACUCAUUCGGCGCCUUACGGGAAAC
RNAcentral lists this ribosomal RNA (549 nucleotides) under uncultured Glomus. RNAcentral describes it as "SSU rRNA". It matches the Rfam family "Eukaryotic small subunit ribosomal RNA", at positions 548 to 1098 of the family's 1831-position model. Lineage: Eukaryota; Fungi; Glomeromycota; Glomeromycetes; Glomerales; Glomeraceae. The record is from RNAcentral.